This 399-nucleotide unclassified non-coding RNA is filed under the name soil metagenome. Its description in RNAcentral is "partial contains 5.8S ribosomal RNA, internal transcribed spacer 2, and large subunit ribosomal RNA". The stretch from base 1 to 120 matches the Rfam family "5.8S ribosomal RNA", at positions 35 to 154 of the family's 154-position model. The record is from RNAcentral.
GAUGAAGAACGUAGCGAAAUGCGAUACUUGGUGUGAAUUGCAGAAUCCCGUGAACCAUCGAGUCUUUGAACGCAAGUUGCGCCCGAAGCCUCGGCUAAGGGCACGUCUGCCUGGGCGUCACGCAUCUCGUCUCCCCCAAACCGCCAAGGCGGAGGGGAAGGAAGAUGGCUUCCCGUGCCUCACCCGGCGCGGUUGGCCUAAAUUUGGAGCCCGCGGCACUUAGCUCUCGCGGCGAUAGGUGGUGAACAAGGCCUUGGCCGUGCAAACAACCCGCUGCGAAGCUCUAUGUCACGUGCGCUCGUCGGACCCUUUGAAGUUGCCUUCGGUGACUUAAAACCUUUGCGACCCCAGGUCAGGCGGGGCUACCCGCUGAAUUUAAGCAUAUCAAUAAGCGGAGGA